CCCUUGAAAUACCACCCUUUAAUGGCUGGUGUUCUAACGUAGACCCGUGAUCCGGGUUGCGGACAGUGUCUGGUGGGUAGUUUGACUGGGGCGGUCUCCUCCCAAAGAGUAACGGAGGAGCACGAAGGUUGGCUAAUCCUGGUCGGACAUCAGGAGGUUAGUGCAAUGGCAUAAGCCAGCUUGACUGCGAGCGUGACGGCGCGAGCAGGUGCGAAAGCAGGUCAUAGUGAUCCGGUGGUUCUGAAUGGAAGGGCCAUCGCUCAACGGAUAAAAGGUACUCCGGGGAUAACAGGCUGAUACCGCCCAAGAGUUCAUAUCGACGGCGGUGUUUGGCACCUCGAUGUCGGCUCAUCACAUCCUGGGGCUGAAGUAGGUCCCAAGGGUAUGGCUGUUCGCCAUUUAAAGUGGUACGCGAGCUGGGUUUAGAACGUCGUGAGACAGUUCGGUCCCUAUCUGCCGUGGGCGCUGGAGAAUUGAGGGGGGCUGCUCCUAGUACGAGAGGACCGGAGUGGACGCAUCACUGGUGUUCGGGUUGUCAUGCCAAUGGCACUGCCCGGUAGCUAAAUGCGGAAGAGAUAAGUGCUGAAAGCAUCUAAGCACGAAACUUGCCCC
Molecule: ribosomal RNA, 612 nt
Filed under: Enterobacter hormaechei
Lineage: Bacteria; Pseudomonadati; Pseudomonadota; Gammaproteobacteria; Enterobacterales; Enterobacteriaceae
Also listed under: 1 other name
Description: partial 23S ribosomal RNA
Rfam family: Bacterial large subunit ribosomal RNA
Source: RNAcentral